GGACUGGAUUUAGCUCUGCGGUUACUUCGGCAUAUGGAGCUCAAGGUUCUAUAAUCAUCACUGAUGGUUCGAGACCUGCAGGUGCUCUCCAGUCCUUUG
RNAcentral lists this vault RNA (99 nucleotides) under Sorex araneus (European shrew). RNAcentral's name for it is "Vault RNA (ENSSARG00000016145.1)". It matches the Rfam family "Vault RNA". From Rfam's summary of the family: This family of RNAs are found as part of the enigmatic vault ribonucleoprotein complex. The complex consists of a major vault protein (MVP), two minor vault proteins (VPARP and TEP1), and several small untranslated RNA molecules. The record is from RNAcentral. Lineage: Eukaryota; Metazoa; Chordata; Mammalia; Eulipotyphla; Soricidae.